ACCGCCUGACACCGUGGGUGUGAUGGGGUUACGUUCACACUGGGUGCUCGUCAGCACUGACAAUGGGGCGCUGGCCCCUGUGACUCAAACGCCUGCCCAGGGAGAGUGAGAAGAUGCCUCUGGAGCAGGGAGGCUUGGGGUGUGAGAGGAUUGACGCUGCCCUGGCUUCUAACCGUAACAUCUCAGUGUCUGCGACAUCGGGUGGCACAGCUGAGGACCAACACCACAAAAAUAGACUUGUCUGGAAGUAGCCCUCCCUGUUUUUCAGAAGUAACAGUGGUUUUUAGGAUGGGCUAUUGCAAAAGUUUUCUAGGACAGCCUGUCACUUGACAUUUUAGCCACAAGGUGGCACUACGGCACCUCUGUUUGCCUGCCUGCCCCAUUCUACACACACACACACACACACACACACACUCACACACGCACACGCGCACAGCAAUGUCGAUAGGGACCAUUCAAGUCCCAUCCCCGAGGUGAGCCAGGUACCCCUGUCCAUGUUCCCACUAGGACAGGCUCCGCUUGCUGGCAUCUUGUGCAGAGCACUUAGUUAAUGGCCCAUGGCACAGCCACCCAGAACUGGCUGACUCCAGAAAAGAGCUGGAUAUAGGUCAUAAAUAUAUAUUAACAACCUCAUUCAUCCGCAGGAAACUGCAAAUUGAAAAACCUCCAGAGCAGUCACCAUUGAGAUGAUGCAGCGAUACCGCGGGUGCGGCCACGGAACGUCCUCAGGACAGAUGUGAUGCGAACACUUCGGAGAACUACUAGAGCUGGAGAGACCCUCAUGCCUGUGAGCCCACAAUCCCACUCCGAUGUACAGACCCGGAGGGAGGCCCACACGUGCAUCAAAAGGCAGCACAAGAGUGCCCAUCACACAACCACAGCAGCCCCAACAGGCGGCCACCCAACGCCCAUCAGCAACGAGAAGAAUAAACGCAGCUGGGCACGCGCACAACGGAGCGCUCCCAGCAACGAGAAGAAAUGGCGUCAGCGCCUCUGACAACACCGUUCUCAUAAGAACACUCUAAUUUUCUGACUGAUACAAAUGAAAAUCAACCAGAAGCAGGCUCCUUGACUGCCAGGAUGUCCUUCAACAGCCACAACAGCCUGACUGUCUAACAACAGCCAAAGGAAGAAGCAACAGUCAGGAAGCAUCUAGCUGUGGGUUAGUACCAGGUGCACAACGCAGUGCCCCACAUCUCCAUCUCCCAUUCAACUGCCCUGAGAAAAGUCUGGGAACGAGGGACACGGAGAGACUCAGGGUAAAAGCAAGGCACGUGCGCACAUCAACAUGCACUCCAACUUGCUAAUUUAAAAAGUUAUGUUCAUCUAUAUUUACAAAGACAUACAUUUUAUUUAAGAUAAAAGCCAAAUUACUGAUGUAAAGGUGUUAUUCUGAAACUGGACUUGACGGUAUCUCAGAGGCAGAGUAGGAUAACAUUUCGUUUUAAAUUGUGGUUCUUGGGUGAUGAAGACGAAUAUCACAAUUAGAGAAAGAAUAAGCAAGGAAGUUAGAAAUACUGCUUAUAGGUUUUUUAAGUGUUUUAAAUGAUGUUAUAUAUGAAAAAUAUAAAUUCUGUAUUAGCUUCUGUGUUUUGUAAUAACAAAAUUAGAUAGUACAUUGUAGAAAUUUUGGAAAAUACAGAAAAAGACAAAGAGGACAAUAGUGACCUAUAAACCAA
Molecule: long non-coding RNA, 1679 nt
Organism: Myotis davidii
Lineage: Eukaryota; Metazoa; Chordata; Mammalia; Chiroptera; Vespertilionidae
Exons: 2
Source: RefSeq, a predicted model, not a curated record